Clarias gariepinus (North African catfish) is the source of this 386-nucleotide non-coding RNA. NCBI's taxonomy places the organism in Eukaryota, Metazoa, Chordata, Actinopteri, Siluriformes, Clariidae. The record is from the annotation of a RefSeq genome assembly.
UUACUUAUUCUGCUUAAUCACACACCAUGAUCUCUACAUCCCUGCUGCUGCUGCUGGCAGCCGUACACUGUGUUCACGGGGUUCAGCUGAUUCAACCUGGAAGCAUGGCUUUAACCCCUGGUCAGUCACUGACUCUGACCUGUGAAGUUUCUGGAUAUUCAUUAACUGAUAGCAGCUACUGUACAGACUGGAUACGACAACCUGCAGGAAAAACUCUGGAGUGGAUCGGAUAUAUAUGUUAUACUGGUGGCACUGCUUACAGUGAGAAACUAAAAAGCAGGUUUCAGAUUUCCAGAGACACGUCCAGGAGCACAGUGACAUUAACAGGACAGAACAUGCAGACUGAAGACACAGCUGUGUAUUACUGCGCUCGUCACCCACAGUGA